GCGCCGUUAGCUCAGUUGGUAGAGCAGCUGACUCUUAAUCAGCGGGUCCGGGGUUCGAAGCCCUGACGGCGCA
Molecule: transfer RNA, 73 nt
Filed under: Mycolicibacterium hassiacum DSM 44199
Lineage: Bacteria; Bacillati; Actinomycetota; Actinomycetes; Mycobacteriales; Mycobacteriaceae
Description: Mycobacterium hassiacum DSM 44199 tRNA
Rfam family: tRNA
About the family: Transfer RNA (tRNA) molecules are approximately 80 nucleotides in length. Their secondary structure includes four short double-helical elements and three loops (D, anti-codon, and T loops). Further hydrogen bonds mediate the characteristic L-shaped molecular structure. tRNAs have two regions of fundamental functional importance: the anti-codon, which is responsible for specific mRNA codon recognition, and the 3' end, to which the tRNAs corresponding amino acid is attached (by aminoacyl-tRNA synthetases). tRNAs cope with the degeneracy of the genetic code in two manners: having more than one tRNA (with a specific anti-codon) for a particular amino acid; and 'wobble' base-pairing, i.e. permitting non-standard base-pairing at the 3rd anti-codon position.
Source: Rfam by way of RNAcentral